UAUUGAGCUGUAUUACAUAUUUGCAAGUGUUUGGGGUCACAGGAUAUACACAAUAUAUAGCAUUCUUUUUGUUGUAUUUAUCCUUCUCCUGAUUACAACUGCCCUUGUCUCAGUUGCUAUGACGUACUUCCAACUUGCCGCGGAAGAUCGUGAAUGGUGGUAGAGGUACUGCAUUUCUCAUCUUGUUGCUAUGACGUACUUCCAACUUGCUGCAGAAGAUCAUGCAUGGUGGUGGAGGUACUGCCUUUCUCAUCUUACUACUAUGAUGCUUUUCUUCCAGAAUAUUGCCUUCUUUUCAUAAGAUGUGAAUAUCGUGAUUAUUAGAGCAUAAGUUAACUAUCAGCUACUUUACUGCUUUGACCAGUUCUUUAGUUAGUAGUUAGGAUUUUGUUAGUCCUUUAUUUUCUCAAAUAAAUCUCCUUAUCAAGGAGUUUAUUUAGCAAGUAGUUUAGCCCUCCUCUUCCAGAUGAGUUAGUUUAGGGAAUUGGUUUUUCACUCUUGUAUUUAAAGGUUGCUUUGAUUCAAUAAGCAUAUCAGCUUUUUGUGCUUCUCUUGUUCUUAUAUAAUAUCAGAGCCUCAACAAACUCUAACGGGUAACAUCCUCUCUUUU
RNAcentral lists this long non-coding RNA (610 nucleotides) under Nicotiana benthamiana. RNAcentral describes it as "long non-coding RNA (NBEN_LNC033781)". The record is from RNAcentral. Lineage: Eukaryota; Viridiplantae; Streptophyta; Magnoliopsida; Solanales; Solanaceae.